RNAcentral lists this transfer RNA (72 nucleotides) under Chelonia mydas (Green sea turtle). It matches the Rfam family "tRNA". From Rfam's summary of the family: Transfer RNA (tRNA) molecules are approximately 80 nucleotides in length. Their secondary structure includes four short double-helical elements and three loops (D, anti-codon, and T loops). Further hydrogen bonds mediate the characteristic L-shaped molecular structure. tRNAs have two regions of fundamental functional importance: the anti-codon, which is responsible for specific mRNA codon recognition, and the 3' end, to which the tRNAs corresponding amino acid is attached (by aminoacyl-tRNA synthetases). tRNAs cope with the degeneracy of the genetic code in two manners: having more than one tRNA (with a specific anti-codon) for a particular amino acid; and 'wobble' base-pairing, i.e. permitting non-standard base-pairing at the 3rd anti-codon position. The record is from Rfam by way of RNAcentral. Lineage: Eukaryota; Metazoa; Chordata; Testudines; Cheloniidae.
AGGGAUGUAGCUCAGUGGUAGAGUACAUGCUUUGCAUGUAUGAAGCCCUGGGUUUAAUCCCCAGAGUCUCCU